RNAcentral lists this ribosomal RNA (397 nucleotides) under uncultured bacterium. Its description in RNAcentral is "partial 16S ribosomal RNA". It matches the Rfam family "Bacterial small subunit ribosomal RNA", at positions 523 to 918 of the family's 1533-position model. The record is from RNAcentral.
AUACGUAGGGGGCGAGCGUUGUCCGGAAUGAUUGGGCGUAAAGGGCGCGUAGGCGGCCCGGUAAGUCUGGAGUGAAAGUCCUGUUUUUAAGAUGGGAAUUGCUUUGGAUACUGUCGGGCUUGAGUGCAGGAGAGGUAAGUGGAAUUCCCAGUGUAGCGGUGAAAUGCGUAGAGAUUGGGAGGAACACCAGUGGCGAAGGCGACUUACUGGACUGUAACUGACGCUGAGGCGCGAAAGUGUGGGGAGCAAACAGGAUUAGAUACCCUGGUAGUCCACACUGUAAACCAUGAAUGCUAGGUGUAGGGGGUAUCGACCCCUUCUGUGCCGCAGUCAACACAAUAAGCAUUCCGCCUGGGGAGUACGGCCGCAAGGUUGAAACUCAAAUGAAUUGACGGGG